GCCUGGGUGGCUCAGUUGGUUGAGCAUCUGACUUCAGCUCAGAUCAUGAUCUCGCAGUUUGUGAGUUCGAGCCCCACAUCAGGCU
Molecule: transfer RNA, 85 nt
Filed under: Felis catus (domestic cat)
Lineage: Eukaryota; Metazoa; Chordata; Mammalia; Carnivora; Felidae
Rfam family: tRNA
About the family: Transfer RNA (tRNA) molecules are approximately 80 nucleotides in length. Their secondary structure includes four short double-helical elements and three loops (D, anti-codon, and T loops). Further hydrogen bonds mediate the characteristic L-shaped molecular structure. tRNAs have two regions of fundamental functional importance: the anti-codon, which is responsible for specific mRNA codon recognition, and the 3' end, to which the tRNAs corresponding amino acid is attached (by aminoacyl-tRNA synthetases). tRNAs cope with the degeneracy of the genetic code in two manners: having more than one tRNA (with a specific anti-codon) for a particular amino acid; and 'wobble' base-pairing, i.e. permitting non-standard base-pairing at the 3rd anti-codon position.
Source: Rfam by way of RNAcentral